Molecule: ribosomal RNA, 739 nt
Filed under: Rhizoctonia solani
Lineage: Eukaryota; Fungi; Basidiomycota; Agaricomycetes; Cantharellales; Ceratobasidiaceae
Description: eukaryotic LSU rRNA
Rfam family: 5.8S ribosomal RNA (bases 190-344)
Source: RNAcentral
GUUGAGUUGUAGCUGGCCCCCACUCCGGUGGAGGCAUGUGCACACCUUCUCUUUCAUCCAUUACAGCCCCUGUGCACUUGUGAGACAGCAAAGGAGGAAAUUAUUAUUGAUCCCUUGCUGUGACUACUUAAUUCACACACACUCUAUUUAAUUUAAACUGAAUGUAAUUGAUGUAACGCAUCUAAUACUAAGUUUCAACAACGGAUCUCUUGGCUCUCGCAUCGAUGAAGAACGCAGCGAAAUGCGAUAACGUAAUGUGAAUUGCAGAAUUCAGUGAAUCAUCGAAUCUUUGAACGCACCUUGCGCUCCUUGGUAUUCCUUGGAGCAUGCCUGUUUGAGUAUCAUGAAAUCUUCAAAGUAAACCUUUUGUUAAUUCAAUUGGUCUCUUUACUUUGGUCUUGGAGGGUCUAUUGCAGCUUCACACCUGCUCCUCUUUGUGCAUUAGCUGGAUCUCAGUGUUAUGCUUGGUUCCACUCGGCGUGAUAAGUUAUCUAUCGCUGAGGACACCCGUAAAAAAGGUGGCCAAGGUAAAUGCAGAUGAACCGCUUCUAAUAGUCCAUUGACUUGGACAAUAUUAUUUUAUGAUCUGAUCUCAAAUCAGGUAGGACUACCCGCUGAACUUAAGCAUAUCAAAGCUGAACUUAAGCAUAUCAAAAAGGGGGGAGAGAGAAAAUGUUUUUUUGGGGGUCUAAACCGGAGGGAAGUUUGAGUUUAAACCGGCCCCCACUCCGGUGGAGGC